RNAcentral lists this non-coding RNA (22 nucleotides) under Arabidopsis thaliana (thale cress). Lineage: Eukaryota; Viridiplantae; Streptophyta; Magnoliopsida; Brassicales; Brassicaceae. The record is from RNAcentral.
GAAUAGGCUUCAGUAACAGGGA